GCGGGGAUAGCUCAGUUGGAAGAGUGUCAGACUGAAGAUCUAAAGGUCACGUGUUCGAGCCACGUUCACUGCA
Molecule: non-coding RNA, 73 nt
Organism: Vigna unguiculata (cowpea)
Lineage: Eukaryota; Viridiplantae; Streptophyta; Magnoliopsida; Fabales; Fabaceae
Source: the annotation of a RefSeq genome assembly